This 253-nucleotide ribosomal RNA is filed under the name uncultured bacterium. RNAcentral's name for it is "partial 16S ribosomal RNA". It matches the Rfam family "Bacterial small subunit ribosomal RNA", at positions 524 to 776 of the family's 1533-position model. The record is from RNAcentral.
UACGGAGGGUGCGAGCGUUGUCCGGAAUCAUUGGGCGUAAAGGGCGCGUAGGUGGCCUGGUCAGCGUGCGGUGAAAGCUCGGGGCUCAACCCCGAGUCGGCCGUGCGAACUGCUGGGCUCGAGCACUGUAGAGGCAGGCGGAAUUCCGGGUGUAGCGGUGGAAUGCGUAGAGAUCCGGAAGAACACCGGUGGCGAAGGCGGCCUGCUGGGCAGUAGCUGACACUGAGGCGCGACAGCGUGGGGAGCAAACAGG